This 497-nucleotide ribosomal RNA is filed under the name uncultured bacterium. RNAcentral's name for it is "partial 16S ribosomal RNA". It matches the Rfam family "Bacterial small subunit ribosomal RNA", at positions 28 to 507 of the family's 1533-position model. The record is from RNAcentral.
GAUGAACGCUGGCGGCGUGCCUAAUACAUGCAAGUCGAGCGAACAGACGAGGAGCUUGCUCCUCUGACGUUAGCGGCGGACGGGUGAUUAACACGUGGAUAACCUACCUAUAAGACUGGGAUAACUUCGGGAAACCGGAGCUAAUACCGGAUAAUAUAUUGAACCGCAUGGUUCAAUAGUGAAAGACGGUUUUGCUGUCACUUAUAGAUGGAUCCGCGCCGCAUUAGCUAGUUGGUAAGGUAACGGCUUACCAAGGCAACGAUGCGUAGCCGACCUGAGAGGGUGAUCGGCCACACUGGAACUGAGACACGGUCCAGACUCCUACGGGAGGCAGCAGUAGGGAAUCUACCGCAAUGGGCGAAAGCCUGACGGAGCAACGCCGCGUGAGUGAUGAAGGUCUUCGGAUCGUAAAACUCUGUUAUUAGGGAAGAACAAAUGUGUAAGUAACUAUGCACGUCUUGACGGUACCUAAUCAGAAAGCCACGGCUAACUACGUG